RNAcentral lists this ribosomal RNA (253 nucleotides) under uncultured bacterium. RNAcentral describes it as "partial 16S ribosomal RNA". It matches the Rfam family "Bacterial small subunit ribosomal RNA", at positions 524 to 776 of the family's 1533-position model. The record is from RNAcentral.
UACGUAGGGUGCGAGCGUUAAUCGGAAUUACUGGGCGUAAAGCGUGCGCAGGCGGUUCGUUGUGUCUGAUGUGAAAGCCCCGGGCUCAACCUGGGAAUGGCAUUGGAAACUGGCGAGCUAGAGUGUGGCAGAGGGGGGUGGAAUUCCUGGUGUAGCGGUGAAAUGCGCAGAUAUCAGGAGGAACACCGAUGGCGAAGGCAGGUCUCUGGGCAUUAACUGACGCUGAGGAGCGAAAGCAUGGGGAGCGAACAGG